AGCGCCUUCAAUGGGCAUGUGAGCAUCAGGACUGGACCAUGGAGCAAUGUAAAAAGGUGGACUGAUGACAGCCAGGUGUGUGUGUCUCUUAGCUGGAGAAGAGGUGGCACCAGGAUGCACUAUGGGAAGAAGGCAAGCCGGCUGAGGCAGUGUGAUGCUCUGGGCAAUGUUCUGCUGGGAAACCUUGGAUCUGGACAUUCAUGUGUCUGUUACUUUGACAUGUAUCACUGUCCUAAACAUUUGUUGCAGACCAAGUACACCCCAUUGUGGCAGUAGUAUUCCCCAAUGGCUGUGGCCUCUUUCAGCAGGAUGAUGCGCCCUGCCACACUGCAAAAAUUGUUCGGAAUGUUUUUAGGAGUCCCGCGACCCUGAAAAGGAGUAAGCGGUUGAAGAUGGAUGAUGGAUGGAUGGAUGGAUGGAUGGAUGGAUGGUUUUAGGAGUGACAGAGUUCAUGGUGUUGAUUUGGCCUCCAAAUUCCACAGAUCUCAAUCAAAUCAAGCAACUGUGAGACAUGCUAGACAAAAAAUUCCGAUCCAUGGAGAGAACACCUCACAACUUACAGGACUUAAAGGAUCUGCUGCUAACGUCUUGGUACCAGAUACCAUAGCACACCUUCAGAGGUCUUUAUGGAGUCCAUGCCUCGACAUGCCAGAGCUGUUUUGGUGGCACAAGGGAGAGGGAAGGGGCUACAUAAUAUUAGGCAGAAAAUGUUCAUAGAGUGAACACAGAACAGACAUUUUGCCCAUAUGGAGGUCUAAUAGUUUGUGUUGCAGCCACCACUAAAUUACAUCUACACUGUGUCUCAAUCAACUGACUAAUAAUGAUCAUUAAGGGUUGAUGUUCUCUCUCAAAAGCUUUUCAUGAAUUCUCCAAUUCUCUUAAUAAAAGAUUUAGGCACUGCUCAUGAAAGUGUUUUAAAUGCCAGUUCAAAUCAAGUGUUCAAUCCUGACCGUGAUGGGUUUCUGCCCGGUUCUUUAGUUUAAAUCCCACCUUCAAGAAACAUGCUGGACUGGCUAAGAUAAUCUGCCCCAGGUAUGAAUGACUGUGUGAAAAAUGUGUGGCAUCUGAUCCAGAGUGUGUGUCUGCCUUAUACCCAGUGUUCCUGGGAUAGACUCUGGAUCCAUGUGACCCUGACCAGGGUGAAGUGGAUACUGAAGAUGAAUAAAUUAAUGAAUGAAUUAAUCAUUAGCAUAGAUGCUAGUUCUAUUUGCUAAUUCUGUCUUUAAAAAAAAACCUCUUUUACCGAACAUUCAACCUGUUACUCAUUUUAGAGCAAAAUGCAGCCACUGUCCUUGUAUAAAUGAGCUAUUUUUGCCUGACUUAAGAGUUACAAGGGCUAAAUUGUAUCCUAGUCAUUAAAUCACCCUACCACAUUUUAUAUUAAAUUCAGAUUUUGUUGCACCUUUCCAGAUUUCAGUUACAACACACACUUCCAGUGCUGGUAACAGUCAAUAACGGUUGACACUAACUGCUGUUAUGAAUCCACACUUGAUCCGGAAAUGGUAAAUCAAUAUACAUUCAUAUUUAAGUGCUUACCGUCAACACAAUCUGUCUGAUGUUCACUCCGAGUACACGCUGCACAUGUCUGGUCAGUCCAUAACACACUCCAGACCCCAAAUUAUAUUUUUAGGCCAUUGAGUUACGAGGUUUGCACUUAGCAGCAUGAAGGAGGGGUUGAUGGUGGAAGUGUG
Ictalurus punctatus (channel catfish) is the source of this 1691-nucleotide long non-coding RNA. The record is from Ensembl. Lineage: Eukaryota; Metazoa; Chordata; Actinopteri; Siluriformes; Ictaluridae.